UACGAAGGGGGCGAGCGUUGUUCGGAAUCACUGGGCGUAAAGCGCACGUAGGCGGCGCGUUAAGUCAGGGGUGAAAUCCUGGAGCUCAACUCCAGAACUGCCUUUGAUACUGGCGUGCUCGAGUGUGGGAGAGGUUGGUGGAACUCCGAGUGUAGAGGUGAAAUUCGUAGAUAUUCGGAAGAACACCAGUGGCGAAGGCGGCCAACUGGCCCAUUACUGACGCUGAGGUGCGAAAGCGUGGGGAGCAAACAGG
This 253-nucleotide ribosomal RNA is filed under the name uncultured bacterium. Its description in RNAcentral is "partial 16S ribosomal RNA". It matches the Rfam family "Bacterial small subunit ribosomal RNA", at positions 524 to 776 of the family's 1533-position model. The record is from RNAcentral.